Molecule: long non-coding RNA, 478 nt
Filed under: Homo sapiens (human)
Lineage: Eukaryota; Metazoa; Chordata; Mammalia; Primates; Hominidae
Description: HSALNT0236521
Source: RNAcentral
GCCUACUGCAGUAUUUCACUCUUUGGCUGGAACCUCAGAUCAACUGACGUUUAUCUACAAGGAUUUUUAUCAGGGUUGUUUGAAACCAGGGGUCAGCAAAAUUGUUUCGUGACCAGUCAAGUAUUGCCGUGACCCUCAGGUUGAAGGUCACAUAACCUGAGCAUGCCCAGAUGAACCAAGUGUGCAGCCAGAGGGGGAACCUAAGGGCUUGGACUGACGAUCGGGGGACUGAAUUAAGAAGUGGACAUGGCAGGACCCAGGAUCCAAUCAGGUCAAUCCCUAGCAUCAUCUCAUGGAAGGAUCCAAUCAGAUCAUGCCUCCCAGCAUCACUUCAUUGCAAGAUCCAAUCAGAUCAUGCCUCAUUACUUCAUGCCUAUAAAACCUGACCCAGCCCUCUGUUUAGGAGGCACUGUUUUAGGAAUUAUCCCCUGUGGUCCCCUUACUUGCUGCAAGUAAUAAAAUCCCCUUGUUAAGUCCU